AGAGUUUGAUCAUGGCUCAGAUUGAACGCUGGCGGCAGGCCUAACACAUGCAAGUCGAACGGUAACAGGAAGAAGCUUGCUUCUUUGCUGACGAGUGGCGGACGGGUGAGUAAUGUCUGGGAAACUGCCUGAUGGAGGGGGAUAACUACUGGAAACGGUAGCUAAUACCGCAUAACGUCGCAAGACCAAAGAGGGGGACCUUCGGGCCUCUUGCCAUCGGAUGUGCCCAGAUGGGAUUAGCUAGUAGGUGGGGUAACGGCUCACCUAGGCGUCGAUCCCUAGCUGGUCUGAGAGGAUGACCAGCCACACUGGAACUGAGACACGGUCCAGACUCCUACGGGAGGCAGCAGUGGGGAAUAUUGCACAAUGGGCGCAAGCCUGAUGCAGCCAUGCCGCGUGUAUGAAGAAGGCCUUCGGGUUGUAAAGUACUUUCAGCGGGGAGGAAGGGAGUAAAGUUAAUACCUUUGCUCAUUGACGUUACCCGCAGAAGAAGCACCGGCUAACUCCGUGCCAGCAGCCGCGGUAAUACGGAGGGUGCAAGCGCUAAUCGGAAUUACUGGGCGUAAAGCGCACGCAGGCGGUUUGUUAAGUCAGAUGUGAAAUCCCCGGGCUCAACCUGGGAACUGCAUCUGAUACUGGCAAGCUUGAGUCUCGUAGAGGGGGGUAGAAUUCCAGGUGUAGCGGUGAAAUGCGUAGAGAUCUGGAGGAAUACCGGUGGCGAAGGCGGCCCCCUGGACGAAGACUGACGCUCAGGUGCGAAAGCGUGGGGAGCAAACAGGAUUAGAUACCCUGGUAGUCCACGCCGUAAACGAUGUCGACUUGGAGGUUGUGCCCUUGAGGCGUGGCUUCCGGAGCUAACGCGUUAAGUCGACCGCCUGGGGAGUACGGCCGCAAGGUUAAAACUCAAAUGAAUUAACGGGGGCCCGCACAAGCGGUGGAGCAUGUGGUUUAAUUCGAUGCAACGCGAAGAACCUUACCUGGUCUUGACAUCCACAGAACUUUCCAGAGGUGGAUUGGUGCCUUCGGGAACUGUGAGACAGGUGCUGCAUGGCUGUCGUCAGCUCGUGUUGUGAAAUGUUGGGUUAAGUCCCGCAACGAGCGCAACCCUUAUCUUUUGUUGCCAGCGGUCCGGCCGGGAACUCAAAGGAGACUGCCAGUGAUAAACUGGAGGAAGGUGGGGAUGACGUCAAGUCAUCAUGGCCCUUACGACCAGGGCUACACACGUGCUACAAUGGCGCAUACAAAGAGAAGCGACCUCGCGAGAGCAAGCGGACCUCAUAAAGUGCGUCGUAGUCCGGAUUGGAGUCUGCAACUCGACUCCAUGAAGUCGGAAUCGCUAGUAAUCGUGGAUCAGAAUGCCACGGUGAAUACGUUCCCGGGCCUUGUACACACCGUCCGUCACACCAUGGGAGUGGGUUGCAAAAGAAGUAGGUAGCUUAACCUUCGGGAGGGCGCUUACCACUUUGUGAUUCACGACUGGGGUGAAGUCGAAACAAGGUAACCGUAGGGGAACCUGCGGUUG
This 1522-nucleotide ribosomal RNA is filed under the name metagenome. RNAcentral describes it as "bacterial SSU rRNA". It matches the Rfam family "Bacterial small subunit ribosomal RNA". The record is from RNAcentral.